RNAcentral lists this ribosomal RNA (805 nucleotides) under uncultured bacterium. RNAcentral's name for it is "bacterial SSU rRNA". It matches the Rfam family "Bacterial small subunit ribosomal RNA", at positions 87 to 892 of the family's 1533-position model. The record is from RNAcentral.
GAACACGAGUGGCGCACGGGUGCGUAACACGUAUGCAACCUACCUAUCAGAGGGGGAUAGUCGCGGGAAACUGCGAAUAAUAUCCCAUAUGCUCACGGAUUGGCAUCGAUCUGUGAGGAAAGCUCCGGCGCUGAUAGAUGGGCAUGCGUCCCAUUAGCUAGUUGGUAAGGUAACGGCUUACCAAGGCCACGAUGGGUAGCUGGUCUGAGAGGAUGAUCAGCCACACGGGCACUGAGACACGGGCCCGACUCCUACGGGAGGCAGCAGUAAGGAAUAUUGGACAAUGGGGGCAACCCUGAUCCAGCCAUGCCGCGUGGAGGAAGACGGUUCUCUGAAUUGUAAACUCCUUUUAUGUAGGGAUAAUAAUGUUCUAUACGGACAGAUGCAGGUACUACAUGAAUAAGCACCGGCUAACUACGUGCCAGCAGCCGCGGUAUUACGUAGGGUGCAAGCGUUGUCCGGAUUUAUUGGGUUUAAAGGGUGCGCAGGCGGCGUAUUAAGUUAGUGGUGAAAUCUUCCGGCUUAACCGGAACCCCGCCAUUGAUACUGGUAUGCUUGAGUAUGUUCGAGGAAGUUGGAAUGCGUGGUGUAGCGGUGAAAUGCAUAGAUAUCACGCAGAACACCGAUUGUGAAGGCAGACUUCUAGGACAUAACUGACGCUGAGGCACGAAAGCGUGGGGAGCGAACAGGAUUAGAUACCCUGGUAGUCCACGCUGUAAACGAUGGUCACUAGAUGUCCGGUAUUUCGGUACUGGGUGUCCAAGGGAAACCGAUAAGUGACCCACCUGGGGAGUACGUCGGCAAC